UACGUAGGGGGCUAGCGUUGUCCGGAAUCAUUGGGCGUAAAGAGCGCGUAGGCGGCUAGAUAAGUCCGGUGUGAAAGCCCCGGGCUCAACCUGGGAAUUGCAUUCGAGACUGAAUAGCUAGGGUACGGUAGAGGGAAGUGGAAUUUCCGGUGUAGCGGUGAAAUGCGUAGAUAUCGGAAGGAACAUCAGUGGCGAAAGCGACUUCCUGGACCAGUACCGACGUUCAGGCACGAAAGCGUGGGGAGCAAACAGG
This 253-nucleotide ribosomal RNA is filed under the name uncultured bacterium. RNAcentral's name for it is "partial 16S ribosomal RNA". It matches the Rfam family "Bacterial small subunit ribosomal RNA", at positions 524 to 776 of the family's 1533-position model. The record is from RNAcentral.